UUAGCUUCAGCGAUGGAUCGGUUGAUUCGCGUAUCGAUGAAAAACGCGGCUAGCUGCGUUAUUUACCACGAAUUGCAGACGCUUAGAGUGGUGAAAUUUUGAACGCAUAGCGCCGUUGGGUUUUCCCUUCGGCACGUCUGGUUCAGGGUUGUU
Molecule: ribosomal RNA, 153 nt
Filed under: Haemonchus contortus (barber pole worm)
Lineage: Eukaryota; Metazoa; Nematoda; Chromadorea; Rhabditida; Trichostrongylidae
Description: 5.8S ribosomal RNA
Rfam family: 5.8S ribosomal RNA
About the family: 5.8S ribosomal RNA (5.8S rRNA) is a component of the large subunit of the eukaryotic ribosome. It is transcribed by RNA polymerase I as part of the 45S precursor that also contains 18S and 28S rRNA. Functionally, it is thought that 5.8S rRNA may be involved in ribosome translocation.
Source: RNAcentral